ACUCCUACGGGAGGCAGCAGUGGGAAUAUUGCACAAUGGGCGCAAGCCUGAUGCAGCCAUGCCGCGUGUAUGAAGAAGGCCUUCGGGUUGUAAAGUACUUUCAGCAGUGAGGAAGGUGGGUAUGUUAAUAGCAUACUUCAAUUGCNUUAGCUGCAGAAAGAAGCACCGGGCUAACUCCGUGCCAGCAGCCGCGGUAAUACGGAGGGUGCGAGCGUUAAUCGGAAUUACUGGGCGUAAAGCGCAUGCAGGUGGUUUGUUAAGUCAGAUGUGAAAGCCCGGGCUCAAGCCU
RNAcentral lists this ribosomal RNA (289 nucleotides) under uncultured bacterium. RNAcentral's name for it is "partial 16S ribosomal RNA". It matches the Rfam family "Bacterial small subunit ribosomal RNA", at positions 335 to 616 of the family's 1533-position model. The record is from RNAcentral.